AAAAAACUCUGGAGAGAAGUGUUCAAUCACUCACCGAAGGGGAUGGUUUAAAACGUCAAGGGAUGUUUUAGAUCGAAGCUCUCAGGUACACAUGACAGAUGGGG
This 104-nucleotide non-coding RNA is filed under the name Acinetobacter johnsonii. RNAcentral describes it as "Glycine riboswitch". The stretch from base 8 to 99 matches the Rfam family "Glycine riboswitch aptamer", at positions 10 to 85 of the family's 94-position model. From Rfam's summary of the family: This family represents the bacterial glycine riboswitch. Lineage: Bacteria; Pseudomonadati; Pseudomonadota; Gammaproteobacteria; Moraxellales; Moraxellaceae. The record is from RNAcentral.